AUGUCUUCUCUUCAUUUCAACCUCCAUCCACUCCCUCCAUCUGUUGGAUGUAUCUUUGUGGAUAAGUGCCGCCUACAAGCCGCCACUAGCACAUCUACACCCACGCCCUCAGACCCGGAGUUGGUGUCAUCGAUGGUGACACCGACGAGGGGCUGUUUGAACUUUGGAUGUGACAAGUGGCAUAAUACUUGA
Molecule: non-coding RNA, 192 nt
Organism: Vicia faba (fava bean)
Lineage: Eukaryota; Viridiplantae; Streptophyta; Magnoliopsida; Fabales; Fabaceae
Source: the annotation of a GenBank genome assembly